UUUCCGGGUUUGAUAAAAGAAGGUGGGGCAGCAUUUAAUGACAUUGCUAUCUCUUUGUAAAGCACGGUGGCAGCUUUCAAAAAUUCUCACGUGCUGUGAUUUCAUUCCACAGUGUCCCAGAAGGCUGAGCAAGGCCAUACUUUCUCUAACGUUAGGGAACCACUGCUCAUCAUCAUUGCUUAUUGUGGAACAGAUAUGUUGGUCAUAGCUGUAGUGACGGCAGUUCAACUGAUUCUUCUAUGUACUGGGUCUGCUCCCCCAACCACCCUGAAAAUUGAGAGAAUCCUGGGCAAGGCUGGAGGAGGAGAAGCAAUAGAAUGGCAUUUCAGGUUCUGGAGUUUGGCGGACCAGGUUGUGCCAGUGAGUUCUUACACAUGCAGAAGUUUUGGAUCCUCCACUACCACGGACUAAAACAAAUACAGCAGGCGGGCAUGUUUGGAGCACUGUGUCUGUCAGCCCCCAGGAAUCCAGCAGUAAGUGUUGGUUAUUAUUAGUAUUGCUAUUAACGUGGGUACUAUUGCUAGUUAACAUGUGACAGCCCUUUGUAAAUUGUAUAAAAUAUAAAGAUCAUUAUUCUCAUCACUACUGUUAACUACUCAUUGUAAUAAAGUUCAGUUGAAGAAACAA
Lutra lutra (Eurasian river otter) is the source of this 627-nucleotide long non-coding RNA. RefSeq lists it as uncharacterized. The transcript has 2 exons. The record is from RefSeq and is a predicted model, not a curated record. Lineage: Eukaryota; Metazoa; Chordata; Mammalia; Carnivora; Mustelidae.